This 469-nucleotide ribosomal RNA is filed under the name uncultured bacterium. RNAcentral describes it as "bacterial SSU rRNA". It matches the Rfam family "Bacterial small subunit ribosomal RNA", at positions 8 to 487 of the family's 1533-position model. The record is from RNAcentral.
AGAGUUUGAUCAUGGCUCAGAACGAACGCUGGCGGCGUGCCUAACACAUGCAAGUCGAACGAGAAAGUUUCCUUCGGGAAACCAGUAAAGUGGCGCAAGGGUGAGUAACACGUGAAUAAUCUGCCUACGAAUUCGGGAUAACUCGACGAAAGUUGUGCUAAUACCGGAUAAGACCACACUUCUUAUGAAGCGUGGCCAAAGGAGUCUCAAACUCCGUUUGUAGAUGAGUUCGCGGACCAUUAGCUUGUUGGCGGGAUAACAGCCCACCAAGGCGACGAUGGUUAGCCGGCCUGAGAGGGUGAUCGGCCACACUGGAACUGAGACACGGUCCAGACUCCUACGGGAGGCAGCAGUGGGGAAUAUUGCGCAAUGGGCGAAAGCCUGACGCAGCAACGCCGUGUGAGGGAUGAAGGCUUUUGAGUCGUAAACCUCUGUCAGAUGGGAAGAAUAAUGACGGUACCAUCAGAGG